GAGGAGGGGCGGAUGUACCCAAGUGGAUCAAGGCAGGGGAUUGUGA
Molecule: transfer RNA, 46 nt
Filed under: Schisandra chinensis (Chinese magnolia-vine)
Lineage: Eukaryota; Viridiplantae; Streptophyta; Magnoliopsida; Austrobaileyales; Schisandraceae
Description: partial tRNA-His
Source: RNAcentral